Molecule: long non-coding RNA, 8224 nt
Filed under: Vigna radiata
Lineage: Eukaryota; Viridiplantae; Streptophyta; Magnoliopsida; Fabales; Fabaceae
Description: long non-coding RNA (VRAD_LNC000983)
Source: RNAcentral
GCCUUCUAGAAGGCUUUAUUUAGCAUGUGGAAAAUGUUUUCUAACCAAGUAGCAUGUGUUACAUGUGUGACAGCUGGAAAAAGAAAUGUGUCGUGCCAUACAUGUAAGGAAAAUGAAGCGUGUUAACCCUUUCCUUCCUUGGACCAUCUUGGCUCUUGAUCUUUCUCUCUUGGCUUCCAUUCGAAACAUUUAAAGAAUAUCUAACCUUCUGGUGUUGGCUCUUGAAGUUCUUGUUGUAAUUUCCUAGCCAUCUGUCUUGUUAUGAGACCUGGAUACAGGCUGCUAGGACCCCGUGUAUCAUCUCCUUCCCCUUGAGAAGGAUUUGUCCUCAAAUCCAUAGAAAUAUCUUCAUCCUCAGAAUCAUAACCUGCAAAAGGUCUAAGGUCAGAUACAUUAAAGGUUGAAUGGACUCCAUAUGCUGGCGGAAGGUCUAUUUGAUAAGCAUUGUUGUUUAUCCGCUGCACCACUCUAAAAGGUCCAUCUCCUCUAGGAUUGAGUUUAGAUUUUCUUAGUUGUGGAAACCUUUCCUUCCUAAGAUGAAUCCAAACUAAAUCACCUUCAUUGAAGAUCAACUCUUUUUUGCCCCUAUUAUGAACCUUGGCAUAUCUCUCAUUUUGUUGUUGAAUUUGAUUCCUAACCCUUUGAUGUAAUUCUUUAACAAACUUAUAUUUAGAUACCCCUUCUUGAUGAACAAAAUCAAUAGAAUUUGGAAGAGGUAUUAAAUCCAUAGGUGUCAAAGGGUUGAAACCAUAAACAACCUCAAAAAGAGAUAUCUUAGUAGUUCCAUGAACUACUCUAUUGUAGGCAAACUCUAUAUGAGGAAGGUACUCAUCCCAAGAUUUGUGAUUGCCCUUUAAAACUACCCUUAAUAAUGUGGAGAGAGAUCUAUUACCACUUCAGUUUGACCAUCUGUUUGAGGAUGGCAAGUAGUAGAAAACGAUAACUUAGUCCCUAAUCGAGACUAUAAGGUUCUCCAAAAAUGACUAAGAAAUUUAGUAUCUCUAUCCGAAAUGAUUACUUUAGGUAGGCCAUGAAGUUUAACCACAUCUCUAAAGAAUAGUCUUGCAAUGUUGCUUGCAUCAUCUAUUUUGUGGCAAGGUAUAAAAUGAGCCAUUUUGCUAAAUCUAUCCACUACCACAAAUAUAGAAUCAAAACCCCGAGCAGUCUUAGGAAGUCCUAACACAAAAUCCAUGCUAAUUUCUUCCCAACGGGUUGAAGCAACAUGCAAAGGUGCAUAAAGUCCAUAAGGCAUUGAUUUAGACUUUGAUUCCAAACAAGUGAUACACUUAAAACAAUGCCUUUGAACAUCCCUUCUCAUGUGAGGCCAAAAAAAUCUCUCUUUUAACAUGCCAAGGGUUUUUUCUACCCCAAAAUGUCACAUCAAUCCUCCCUCAUGUGUCUCUUUGACAAGGAGCUUUCUAUGUGAUCCUUGAGGAAUACAAAUUUUUCCUUCUUUAAAAAGAUACCCCUCUCUCACAUAAAAACCUCCUUGAGCUUUACUGAGACAGUCUUCAUACAUAUGAGAAAAUUCAGGGUCUUGUGAAUACAACUCAGUUAUGUUAUCAAACCCAAGAACUUGAGCUCCCAAUGUGGCUAAAAAAUUAAUUUUUCUUGAUUGGGCAUCCACCACAACAUUGGAUUUGCCUUUCUUGUACUUGAUAACAUAAGAGAAUUGUUCAAUGAAUUCUAACCACUUAGCAUGCCUUUUUUGCAACUUGUGUUGACUCUUCAAAUAUUUUAGUGAUUCAUGAUCACUAUGGAUGAUAAACUCCUUGGAAACAAGGUAAUGUUCCCAAGUUUGAACAGCCCUCACAAGAGCAUAAAGUUCCUUGUCAUAGGUGGGAUAGUUACAAGAAGCCCCAUGAAGUUUUUCACUAAAGUAGGCAAUGGGAUGUCCUUCUUGUAAUAAUGUCGCACCUAUUCCAUGUCCUGAAGCAUCACAUUCUAGCUCAAAAGUUUUUGAAAAGUUGGGAAGAGCUAGAAUGGGUGCUUGAGUGAGCUUUUCUUUGAGUAUCUCAAAAGCUUUUUGUUGUUUGUCUCCCCAAAUGAAUGUAACAUCCUUUUUCACCAACUCAUUGAGAGGUGAAGCUAGACUAGAGAAGUUAGGUACAAAUCUUCUAUAAAAACUUGUCAAUCCAUGAAAACUCCUAACUUCUCCUACAUUCUUUGGGGGAGGCCAAUCUUGAAUAGCCUUUAUUUUCUCAGGGUCAACAUGAACCCCAUUUUUAUUGACUACAAAACCUAGAAAAAUGACACUAUCAACACAAAAAGUGUUGGUUCUAAGAAUUGUUAAAACAAUUAUCAACUGUUUUUCAUGGUUGUGAAAGUCUUGACUAUAGAUCAAAAUGUCAUCAAAAUAAACAACUACAAACUUCCUAAUGCAAUCCCUUAGAAUAUGAUUCAUAAGUCUCAUGAAUGUGCUUGGGGCAUUUGUAAGACCAAAAGGCAUUACUAGCCACUCAUAUAAACCAAACUUAGUCUUAAAAGCAGUUUUCCACUCAUCUCCUUCUUUAAUUCGAAUUUGAUGAUAUCCACUCUUAAGAUCUAUUUUUGAGAAAAUUUGAGCCCCAUGUAAUUCAUCCAACAUAUCAUCAAGUCUAGGAAUGGGAUGUCUGUAUUUUAUUGUGAUGUUGUUGAUAGCCCUACAAUCACAACACAUGCGCCACUUUCCAUCUUUUUUUGGCACCAACAACACAGGUACAGCACAGGGGCUUAGGCUCUUUUGAACCAAGCCCUUAUCUAGUAAUUCUUGAACUUGUGACUCAAUCUCUUUUAUUUCUUGGGGAUUGGUCCUAUAGGUAGGCCUAUUAGGAAGAGUUGCCCUUGGAAUGAAGUCAAUUUGAUGUUCUAUCCCUCUUAAAGGUGGAAGCCCAAUUGGAAUUUCUUUGGAAAAUAGAUCAUCAAAUUCCUUCAAAAGUUUUUGUAUUGAAAGAGAUAGAGUAGAAGUCUUAGAAUCACUAGAUGUGCAUGUGAGUGUUCCUUGACAAAGAAGGAGGUAUGAAGGUUGCUCAACUUGAAGUGUAUUGAUUAAAGUCUUUUUAGGACUUCAUGUUGAGUAACCUUGUGGGAGGGAACACUAGACUCCCACACCCCUUUUUCAUCUCUAAGGGCUGCUCCUUUCUUUUGUUUUGAACUUUUUUUUCUCUUUUGUUCUUUUUCUUGGUCCCUUGUGGACUUCAUUUGUGCUUGAUCCUGAGCCACCUGGGCAGGAGUCAAAGGGUGAAGCACAAAUUUCUUAUCCUUUUUGUGCACUGUGAUUGUAUUGGUUAGACCAUGGUGUAUAGUAUUAUGAUCAAAUUGCCAUGGUCUCCCCAAUAUAUAUGGCAAGCUUCCAUAGGAACUACAUCACAAAUAACUUCAUCUUUGAAGUUCCCUAUGGAAAAUGCCAGCUUAACUUGAGUCUUGACUGUGAUAUCCCCAUCUUCAUUUAGCCAAUGAAGUUUGUACGGUUUAGGAUGGGGUAUUACAGCAAGAUUCAACUUCUUAACCAAUCUUGUGCUACAGCAAUUGCAGCAAGAACCGCUAUCAAUAAUGAGAGAACAAUGAUUUUCUUGAAUUUUACAUCUUGUAUGAAAGAUGUUCUCUCUUUGUGAUAGAUGUUCUAGACUUGGUUGAUUAUUAAGCACCCUUCUCACCAUGAGAAGUUGACCAUCAUCAGCAAAUACUUCCUCUUCUUUUUUUGUCUCUUCCUCACUUUCACUGGUAAGGGAUUCACUUUCACUGCUAUAAAUGUCCUUUCCUCUUAGAAUGAUGGUUCUCUUAGUAGGACAUUGAGCAGCUACAUGACCCCUUCCUAGACACUUGAAACAUUUGAGUUCGCUAGUCCUAGGGUGGGACGAGGACUCUUGUUUGGGUUUCUCAACAAUUUUGGCUAGAGGUUUAAAUGACUCUUUUUCUUUAAAACUUCUAUUUUCAAAAGGUUGAACUUGAGCUCUCUUGUAAGAGGAUUUUCUCAAAUUUUGUUGUUCUACCUUGAUACACAUUUGGACAAGACUAUCCAAAUCUAUAUAAGGUAAGAGUUCAACCAUGUCUCGAAUUUCAUAAUUGAGCCCACUCAAAAAUCUAGCCAUUGUGAGUUCAUUUGUCUCUUCAAUCCUUGCCCUUAUCAUAUACAACUCCAUCUUUUGUCUAUAUUGUUCUACAGACAUAGAAUUUUGUUGUAGCCUUUAGAGUUUAUCCAUAAGCUCUCUAUGAUAGUAGGAGGGAAUAUGUCUUUUCCUAAGGGCAGUGAUCAAGUCAUUCCAAUAUCUUAUUGGAGGAUUUUGGUGGCGCCUUCUUUCUUCCACUAUGGCAAUCCACCAAUACAUGGCAUACCCUUGAAAGCUAAGGGUAGCUAAAGGAACCUUUCUCUCUUCACUCACUUGGUGGCAAGCAAAAAGUUGCUCCACCUUCAUUUCCCAAUCUAGAAAGGCCUCCACAUCAUCUUUUCCAUGAAAGUGGGGCAAGUUGAUGUUGACUUCUUUAGGGGGAGGUGGUUCUUGAAUUUCCCGCCUAUGUCUUCUAGAAGAAGAAUAAUCCCCAUAAUAAUCUCCCAUUCUAAAGUUCUCUACCUCAUGGUGGGAAUCUCCACUCCUACUUUCUCGCACUCUUCCUUGCUCAUCUCUCAUGACUCUCAACUCAUCUUGAAUUAUGGUGAUUUGUCUUCCCCUAUCUUGUUGAGCAUAUUCCAUUUUUCUCUCAAUGUCAAGUCUCCAUUGAGUUAGUUCUCUGAGUUGCUUUGAAAUAUCUUUGAGAGUAAUUUGAUCCUCAGAAUCACUAACUCUUGGAGAUUGCCGCUUUGACAUUUUGUGAUUGUAAAAGUUUUCUUGUGUUACAACUUCCUUAGAUUUCACCCAAGAACAAAUUCUAGGUAAGGGAGGUGAACCACUAGGGUUGCUUAAGUACCAAGCCUUUUCCUUGCCAAAAAUGUUCUAGGCUACUUACUUAGUUAUUGUUACUCCAAGAUCACUUCUAAGAUCACAAAAGAAAACUCAAAAGUCAAGAAAACAACUAAGACUCUAAGGUCGGACUCUAAGUUUCCUAAACGAAAAUUUACAAGCUUAAAAGGAAUGAAGAAAUGAAAUGUAAAGGUGAGGUCUCCUAGGUGAGGCUUAGACUUUGGAUCUAAGACACACUCACCGUCUACCAAUUUUAGGUGAAGAGACUUUAAGUCAAGUUAGCAAAUGAGGGAAGAACACUUAGGAGCUCUUCCACUUCACUUGCUUGAAAUGGCCCUUUUUACAAAUCAAAGAAAAACAAAUGAACUAUUACAACUUGUGAUUCAAUCAAAAAGGAAAGGAUAAGGAAAGUGCAACUUUGGCCUCUCUCAAUGGAAGCUGCGUGAAAAUUGAUGCAGCACAAGUCUCACAGUUGCUAUCAAUUGAAAUUGUGAAUUCUGGAUGCAGAAUCGGUUCUGUCUUACACAUAUACAGCAACUGUUGCAGCAAUUAUGCAGUCACGGGAUGGACUUUUGCAGCACCAAGAGCCCAACUUCUUUGUGAUUUCCGCCACUUAUCCACUCCCUAAUAUGCUACCAAUGGUUUAGGAGCUCAGCUAGAUCAAUGCUCCUAUGAUAGCACUUCAACCAAAUCACAAAUCAUUCUAGAGAUUAGUGCACAAAAUGUUGUUGCUGCCAGAAAAAUGUGCACAACCAAAAUGGUUUAGGAGCUCAGCUAGAUCAAUGCUCCUAUGAUAACACCUUUUAUCAAACAGGUGGUAGACAAGAAUUCCAACAAUCAAAUUAAAGCAAUAAAAAGGGACAGAAACACGGGUACACAACCAAAAUGGAACCUAGGAAUGGUGCUAGAGCAGAUUUAAAAGCAAUAAAACAGACUCAAGUAAUAAGUGAAGUGUAGUCAAUGAUAAUAUGCCAUCAGCACCAUCUGUUUGUGAAAAGGUCUCAAUGAUAGUCCAACUAAUGCUAAUUUUUUUUUUAUUUCACGGGAUGCAGAUUUCAACUAAUAUGUUGCACGGAUUCAAUGAGCUUUUUCACUGUCAAUUCAAUUCUUUUGAAUGUUAUGUUUCUUUUAUAUUGAAUCCAGCUUUUGCUACAACAUUUACAUAAAAUUCAAUGCAACAAUUCAAGCUUCAAUUAUCAUAAUUCUGCAGCACUUAAUUGGACUGAAACAGAGGUUCAAAAGUGGCUGGAUUGACUAGCGAAAAUGCACAAUUCCAAUUACAAUCAUUUUAACUUUGCACCAACAAGUUUAAUUGAUGAUUUUAAACUUGUUUGACAGAGAAUUUUGAACAGAUUCAAUGUCUAUCAGAUUAUGACAUGUUCAGUUCCUUUGUGCACUUUCAACCAUUCAACUCUAAUAGCCAACUUUUGAAACAACAAACUAAAUUGACUUCUUGCAUCAGAAUAUGUCUUAACACAAUAUUGGAAAGUUGCUCAAAUAGCAGAAUAACAAUUUUAUAUGGUUGGCAAUGAACUAGAUACUCAACCAGAUUUAACACACAAACACGGCUUUAGCAAAGAAAAUUGUGCAGUUCGGCCUACUGCCAAAUGAAAUGCCAUUUGAACUUUCCAGUUAUACUACCAAUAGCAAAAGCAAUUUCAGGUUUUAUAGUAUUCACUCUGGACUUCGUUCAACAGAGGCUUAUACACAAUCAUCAAUAGUGUUUUUAACCAAAAACAGCCAAUAAACAAUGAAAUUCAGAAAAAUAUGCAGUAUCAAACCAUUGCAGUUUACGUUUUCUUUUCUGUUCAGAUCUGAUUGCCACAUUGCCACCAAGCUCAUUCACUUGAACUUCAUUGCUCUUUAAUGAUUAACAACAUGUAUUUGCAAUUCAGAAUCAAUUGAUGCAGACACAACUCACAGUUGACACAGAAUUGAAGACAAACAAAAAAUCAAUGCAUACAAUGCACAAGACUUGACAGAUCUGGAUGGAUUACAAAAUAAAAGACUCAAAACAGAAUUGACCGAAUAAAAUGAUGAGAAGAAAAGCAAAUAAGCUAGUAUGAAAGAAAUGACACACACAAAACCUAAGAAUGAACAGCAAAUGAAUGGAACAGUACCACACAAUGAAGCAGAGAAAAGAAAACUGUGACAGUGUAAAAUGGAGGAAAAAUUGACUUAUCUCAUGGUAGCAGUAGCUGGAACUCAAUGUGGCUCUGAAUACCACUUGAUAGCUCCUUCCUUGAGCUAUGGUUCAGAUCCGUGAGAUGCAGCAAGCAAAGAAGGCAGCAUCAGCGGUAAUGGAAUGCUUGGAUAAUGAAUANUGAUAGCUCCUUCCUUGAGCUAUGGUUCAGAUCCGUGAGAUGCAGCAAGCAAAGAAGGCAGCAUCAGCGGUAAUGGAAUGCUUGGAUAAUGAAUAGGCAGCAGAAGACAUUAUGAUGGAUUCUAUGAAGUGGAGGAAGUGCUUUAGUGUAAUGAAUCUAGCUCAGACAACUCUCACCUCUGGAAGGAAGCUUGAGGAUUGAAUGGAGGAAGCACAAGAAGAAGUGACUCUCGGUGAUGAAAGGGCUGGAAGCAAUGUGCUUAGCAUUUCAAUUCUGUCAAUAUUCCCAAAAGUAUCAUACAGAAGUUGCCUUGGGGUUUUUAUAAGAAUUCCCUUCGGCCUUGGCAAGGAAAAUACUAGUACUAGAUCCGUGAAAUGUGGAUCUGCUGCCACGUAGGCAGCCAUGUGCAACAUGUGCUAGCCUUCUAGAAGGCUUUAUUUAGCAUGUGGAAAAUGUUUUCUAACCAAGUAGCAUGUGUUACAUGUGUGACAGCUGGAAAAAGAAAUGUGUCGUACCAUACAUGUAAGGAAAAUGAAGUGUGUUAACCCUUUCCUUCCUUGGACCAUCUUGGCUCUUGAUCUUGCUCUCUUGGCUUCCAUUCAAAACAUCCAUUCAAAACAUGUAAAGAAUAUCUGACCUUCUGGUGUUGGCUCUUGAAGUUCUUGUUGUAAUUUCCGGGCCAUCUAUCUUUAUAGGACCUGGAUGCAGGCUGCUAGGACCCCGUGUAUCACGAAGAGAUGCUGGAAACGAAACCCUCACGUCAUGGGAACACCUAACUUGAAACUCACCCCUUCUUUCCUGCAAACCAAGCCAGACCAAAGAAAGGGAAGAAGGAAACAACACUCCCCUACUACGAAAACAACAAGAACCAGAAAGAGAAGAAAGGUUCCUUGCAGGUUGAAUCAACAUACAAAAUAAGGAAAAGGAACACAUCCCCUCUCUUCUAAAACGAACUCAAACCAGCACAAAGGUUUAUCUGCAAGAAAACCCAAAAGUGGGGAAGACGAAAAUGAUUAGAUUCUU